GUUGGAUGCAGUCUAGUCGGAGGAUGAGCAAAUAAUCGGGCUGCUAUGAAGGAGACUAUUAUAGUGACAUAGGCACAACAAAGUUCAUCGAUAAUUUAUCACCACCAGCAGUAGCAGCAGAGAACCCUAAUGUUUGCUGGCUGACAAAGUCGGUCGUAACGGUAGUGCACCCCUUCUGCUCUCUUUCAAAGGGGGUUGUUGUGGCAUUUGGCACAAGGAAGAACGAUGCGACCGGAUCCCACCCCGGUAUAAAGUCAAGUGGAAUUGGGUGUGCCUUAUGAUGCGUGAAACAUGGUUUAGUCUUUCGAUCUACUGCUGGCGACUUCGUUUGCCUGAAUCUAAUUGAUAUUUAUGGGCAUUAUGUGCUCAUCACAUCGGCAGACUAUUCAACGCAGCGAAACGUUGUCGCUAAUCUAAUUAGUAAAACAACGGCAAUGAUAAUAAAGGAGGAUGAUAAAUGAAUGAGUGGAAUCAUGCUGCUCACGUUGAUCAUCAGGAGAAAAUCGAUCAAUGAAGCAUUGCAGUUGCAUACUCUGCAUAACUGGAUAAUAAGUAUUUAUUGUACUAAGUAUAAUUGAUCUAUAUUUGAUUGACGGCAAAUACAUAAAUAAAAGGCUGAG
This is a long non-coding RNA of Armigeres subalbatus, 620 nucleotides long. RefSeq lists it as uncharacterized. The record is from RefSeq and is a predicted model, not a curated record. NCBI's taxonomy places the organism in Eukaryota, Metazoa, Arthropoda, Insecta, Diptera, Culicidae. The transcript has 3 exons.